CCUACGGGUGGCAGCAGUGGGGAAUAUUGCACAAUGGGGGAAACCCUGAUGCAGCGACGCCGCGUGAGUGAAGAAGUAUUUCGGGAUGUAAAGCUCUAUCAGCAGGGAAGAGGAAAGACGGUACCUGACUAAGAAGCCCCGGCUAACUUCGGUACCGCAGCCGCGGUAAUACGGAGGGGGCAAGCGUUGUACGGAUUUACUGGGUGGAAAGGGAGCGUAGACGGCUGUGCAAGGCUGAAGGGAAAGCCCAGGGCUCAACCCUGGGACUGCUUUGGAAACUUUGGAGCUAGAGUGCUGGGGAGGUAAGUGGAAUUCCUAGUGUAGCGGUGAAAUGCGUAGAUAUUAGGAGGAACACCAGUGGCGAAGGCGGCUUGCUGGACAGUAACUGACGUUGAGGCUCGAAAGCGUGGGGAGCAAACAGGAUUAGAUACCCUAGUAGUC
RNAcentral lists this ribosomal RNA (441 nucleotides) under uncultured bacterium. Its description in RNAcentral is "partial 16S ribosomal RNA". It matches the Rfam family "Bacterial small subunit ribosomal RNA", at positions 338 to 795 of the family's 1533-position model. The record is from RNAcentral.